This is a non-coding RNA of Sinocyclocheilus rhinocerous, 639 nucleotides long. Lineage: Eukaryota; Metazoa; Chordata; Actinopteri; Cypriniformes; Cyprinidae. The record is from the annotation of a RefSeq genome assembly.
AUGAUUUGUUUCAUUUCUGCUUCUGUUGUGUGUGUGUGUGUGUGUGUGUGUGUUUCAGCUGGUCCCGCAGUGAAGCCCUCCGUGUCUCUGCUGCCUCCCUCUUCUCUGCAGAUCUCUGGAGACUCAGCCGCACUGCUCUGCCUGCUCAGCUCUUACUCUCCACAGGGGGCGCAGGUGAGCUGGACGCUGGACGGGUCAGAGGUCACCGAGGGGGUUCAGACCAGCGCAGAGAGCGAGCGGGACGGACGCUACAGCCGCAGCAGCGUCCUGAGCCUCAGCAAAGCACGCUGGGAAGACGGCGAGCGCUUCGUCUGCAGAGUAACACAUGACGGAGCUGAUCACGAGACCUCGUUCCUCAAGAGCUCCGAGUGCUGAUGUUUCUCCAGUGAAGAGCAGCAGGAUUCACAGCAGUCACCUGAUUUACAGCUCAAUACUCAAGCAGUCUUUCAAUGUGCUGCCAUUGCUGUUCAUUCAAUAAAGCUUCUGAACGCCUUACAUUUGUGUUCGACUGCAUCAUUGAUCAGUGUGUCCUUCCUUCACUAAAGUUUCAGCUGCUGUUGAUGGAUUGUAAUAGUUGAGAACAGCUGCGUUUAGCAGUAAAUGUGAACUGAAGCUCUUGGGGUUUGAACAUGGUCUCUG